This 1109-nucleotide ribosomal RNA is filed under the name Salmonella enterica. RNAcentral describes it as "partial 23S ribosomal RNA". It matches the Rfam family "Bacterial large subunit ribosomal RNA", at positions 711 to 1733 of the family's 2925-position model. Lineage: Bacteria; Pseudomonadati; Pseudomonadota; Gammaproteobacteria; Enterobacterales; Enterobacteriaceae. RNAcentral also lists the same sequence under 1 other name. The record is from RNAcentral.
AGACCCGAAACCCGGUGAUCUAGCCAUGGGCAGGUUGAAGGUUGGGUAACACUAACUGGAGGACCGAACCGACUAAUGUUGAAAAAUUAGCGGAUGACCUGUGGCUGGGGGUGAAAGGCCAAUCAAACCGGGAGAUAGCUGGUUCUCCCCGAAAGCUAUUUAGGUAGCGCCUCGUGAAUUCAUCUCCGGGGGUAGAGCACUGUUUCGGCCAGGGGGCCAUCCCGGCUUACCAAUCCGAUGCAAACUGCGAAUACCGGAGAAUGUUAUCACGGGAGACACACGGCGGGUGCUAACGUCCGUCGUGAAGAGGGAAACAACCCAGACCGCCAGCUAAGGUCCCAAAGUCAUGGUUAAGUGGGAAACGAUGUGGGAAGGCCCAGACAGCCAGGAUGUUGGCUUAGAAGCAGCCAUCAUUUAAAGAAAGCGUAAUAGCUCACUGGUCGAGUCGGCCUGCGCGGAAGAUGUAACGGGGCUAAACCAUGCACCGAAGCUGCGGCAGCGAACGUAUCACCCAAGACAACUUUGCACAGUUGACGAUUGACGGAGCGAAGCGACGUCAAAGCGUUUUACAACGUCGAGUUGGCUUAGGGAUACGUUCGUUGGGUAGGGGAGCGUUCUGUAAGCCGUUGAAGGUGGCCUGUGAGGGUUGCUGGAGGUAUCAGAAGUGCGAAUGCUGACAUAAGUAACGAUAAAGCGGGUGAAAAGCCCGCUCGCCGGAAGACCAAGGGUUCCUGUCCAACGUUAAUCGGGGCAGGGUGAGUCGACCCCUAAGGCGAGGCCGAAAGGCGUAGUCGAUGGGAAACGGGUUAAUAUUCCCGUACUUGGUGUUACUGCGAAGGGGGGACGGAGAAGGCUAUGUUGGCCGGGCGACGGUUGUCCCGGUUUAAGCGUGUAGGUGUGUGUUCCAGGUAAAUCCGGUUCACUUUAACACUGAGGCGUGACGACGAGGCACUACGGUGCUGAAGCAACAAAUGCCCUGCUUCCAGGAAAAGCCUCUAAGCCUCAGGUAACAUCAAAUCGUACCCCAAACCGACACAGGUGGUCAGGUAGAGAAUACCAAGGCGCUUGAGAGAACUCGGGUGAAGGAACUAGGCAAAAUGGUGCCGUAA